This 426-nucleotide ribosomal RNA is filed under the name uncultured cyanobacterium. Its description in RNAcentral is "bacterial SSU rRNA". It matches the Rfam family "Bacterial small subunit ribosomal RNA", at positions 356 to 795 of the family's 1533-position model. Lineage: Bacteria; Bacillati; Cyanobacteriota. The record is from RNAcentral.
GGGGAAUUUUCCGCAAUGGGCGAAAGCCUGACGGAGCAAUACCGCGUGAGGGAAGACUGCCUAUGGGUUGUAAACCUCUUUUUUCAGGGAGGAAUAAAAUGACGUGUACCUGAAGAAUAAGCAUCGGCUAACUCCGUGCCGGCAGCCGCGGUAAGACGGAGGAUGCAAGUGUUAUCCGGAAUCACUGGGCGUAAAGCGUCUGUAGGUGGUUUAAUAAGUCAACUGUUAAAUCUUGAGGCUCAACUUCAAAAUCGCAGUCGAAACUAUUAGACUAGAGUAUAGUAGAGGUAAAGGGAAUUUCCAGUGGAGCGGUGAAAUGCGUAGAUAUUGGAAAGAACACCGAUGGCGAAAGCACUUUACUGGGCUAUUACUAACACUCAGAGACGAAAGCUAGGGUAGCAAAUGGGAUUAGAUACCCCAGUAGUC